AUUGAACGCUGGCGGCAUGCCUUACACAUGCAAGUCGAACGGCAGCGGACCUUCGGGUGCCGGCGAGUGGCGAACGGGUGAGUAAUAUAUCGGAACGUACCUUUCAGUGGGGGAUAACGUAGCGAAAGUUACGCUAAUACCGCAUAUUCUGUGAGCAGGAAAGCAGGGGAUCGCAAGACCUUGCGCUGAUUGAGCGGCCGAUAUCAGAUUAGCUAGUUGGUGAGGUAAAGGCUCACCAAGGCGACGAUCUGUAGCGGGUCUGAGAGGAUGAUCCGCCACACUGGAACUGAGACACGGUCCAGACUCCUACGGGAGGCAGCAGUGGGGAAUCUUAGACAAUGGGCGCAAGCCUGAUCUAGCCAUGCCGCGUGAGUGAUGAAGGCCUUAGGGUUGUUAAAGACUCUUUCUAGAUGGGAAGGAU
This 421-nucleotide ribosomal RNA is filed under the name uncultured bacterium. RNAcentral describes it as "bacterial SSU rRNA". It matches the Rfam family "Bacterial small subunit ribosomal RNA", at positions 30 to 450 of the family's 1533-position model. The record is from RNAcentral.